Molecule: long non-coding RNA, 1804 nt
Organism: Sarcophilus harrisii (Tasmanian devil)
Lineage: Eukaryota; Metazoa; Chordata; Mammalia; Dasyuromorphia; Dasyuridae
Exons: 5
Source: RefSeq, a predicted model, not a curated record
GCUCAGCUCCCGGGUGGGCCUUCAGCCUGGGCUCAGCUGGACUUUUCCAAGGGCGCACUUUCCUUCCAUCCGCUCGGGUCUGGGGGAUGUGGAACCCUCCCCCCAAUCGGGUUCUGGAGGGGCCCAAGGUAGAAGGCUCCGGCCGGGAGGGAGGGAAGGAGGAGGUUCCGAGCCCCUCUGUGACGUGGCCGGCAUUCCUUACGACCCGACAGCGCCAGUUCCCGAGGAUGUUAGGCCGGGACGGGCAGGAGGCCCAGCUACGCAGCCCUAGGACCUCCCCCCCCCCCAGUCUGGGCCUGUGGUCUCGCUGGCUGGGAUGUCCUGGUGCGGACGCUCCAUCCACCACAGCAGACCAAUACCCACCCCCUAAGUGCGAAGUGCUGGAGAACUCUCUGCACCCCCACCUCUAAGACCCCAGGAAUCAUAAGCCAAGGCCAGCGAGCUGGUCCCACGUCCGGAGACAGCGCUGUGAUGAUCAUCGAUCACUUUGUCCCCCAAUAUCUGGUGAAACUACCAGCCUCAGGCCGAGAGCCCCAACUAAGAGAAACCUCAUUUGGUUCCAUCUGCCCACGAACCAAGAGCUGCGUCCUCGAGGCCGGCGGUCAGACCGGCUCCCGCUCACCCAGCACCCGGCGGCCAGAGGCCGCAUUCUCUUCGGCUGCUGUCGCUCAGUGGGCGGCGGGGGGACACCACAGGCCACCAACGGCAGCAGACUGACCAGACAACAAGCCCGGAGCACCCCGCGCUUCCUUCCGGUUUUCCUUCCUUUCACCCAACAUCCCCAGAUGGUUUGUCUGGGUCUCAGCAAGCUGACCGGAACAUCUCCCAGCAUCCCCUCGUAGACCAGUAAAAAAGGGGGUGGCUCAGCUGGCCGGCUCCAAGCCUGCGCUCACCACCUGGACCACGUGAGGGGGAGGGGACAAGAAGGGACGGUCCCAGCUGAAGGCAGAGUGGCCUGAGGGCCCAGCCGGAAGCCGCACAAGCCGAUUUCUGUUCCUGCUCCAACGGAGGGACGGAUCAUUGACCAGCACUUAGAAAGCCCGGACUAAAUCGAAGCAAAGGCCCAGAGAACACAAAUUAGGAGGUCCGGCGUCCUUGCCUAGGAGGGGCUUAUAUUCAAACAUCCAAGCCCAAGGGAGGGGGAUGAGCUCCCCAUCACGGGAGGUGUUCAUGGAAAAGCCGUCCAUGGAGGCUGGGGCGGGACGGGACAGACUCCCGCGGACGGGGCCCCCGAAGGCCUUUCUAUUCGCCAGGCGAGGGUGCGGAAGGCGCGUCCCAAGUUUCCUUUCAAACCAGAACAGACGGAGAACGCGGCCUUGCCCGCCACGUCCGACGCCGAGGGACCGGCUCCCGGGGCCGUCCCCUCCAUCCCUGACCGCCAAGGGAGCUGCAGGACGAGCCUGUCCCCGGGAAAGGCCUGGGAAGGAGCAUCCACAUGUGAGUUUAAUCUUGGGGGAGGGGCAGAGGCAGCCCGUGGCCACCACACUAAAGAGCUCGCAACGUAAAUUGAAAAAAUGAUAUCCAUAUGAUGAAGCGCGCCGCUUAAGGAGAAACACGUUGGGAAGCCGGCCAUUGAGGAGAAAAUGAAACGCACCCAAAUGGGGCUCCCUCCGCACAUGCUUUCGAUGCACAAUUGCUGCCUUCAGAGCACGGCGGCCACCUGGAAGCCAUUAGCAUUAUGUCGCCAAUAAUGCAGAAUUAAAACAUUUAGCUCUGCCUUCUAAAAUUAAGUGGGCGCAAAAGGAAAGGCCUCGCAGGGAGCCCACGGUCAGCCUGGGGAGCGCGGCCCGCCGGGGGUCCUGGG